RNAcentral lists this ribosomal RNA (301 nucleotides) under uncultured bacterium. RNAcentral's name for it is "partial 16S ribosomal RNA". It matches the Rfam family "Bacterial small subunit ribosomal RNA", at positions 509 to 807 of the family's 1533-position model. The record is from RNAcentral.
CAGUAGCCGCGGGAAUACGAAGGGGGCUAGCGUUGUUCGGAAUUACUGGGCGUAAAGCGCACGUAGGCGGACAUUUAAGUCAGGGGUGAAAUCCCGGGGCUCAACCCCGGAACUGCCUUUGAUACUGGGUGUCUAGAGUAUGGAAGAGGUGAGUGGAAUUCCGAGUGUAGAGGUGAAAUUCGUAGAUAUUCGGAGGAACACAAGUGGCGAAGGCGGCUCACUGGUCCAUUACUGACGCUGAGGUGCGAAAGCGUGGGGAGCAAACAGGAUUAGAUACCCCCGUAGUCCCUGUCUCUUAUAC